Molecule: ribosomal RNA, 253 nt
Filed under: uncultured bacterium
Lineage: Bacteria
Description: partial 16S ribosomal RNA
Rfam family: Bacterial small subunit ribosomal RNA
Source: RNAcentral
UACAGAGGGUGCAAGCGUUAUUCGGAUUUACUGGGCAUAAAGGGCGCGUAGGCGGUCUUACAAGUUUGUUGUGAAAGCCCCCGACUCAAUCGGGGAAGUGCAUCGAAUACUGUAGGACUAGAAUGUAGGAGAGGAGAACGGAAUUCCUGGUGUAGAGGUGAAAUUCGUAGAUAUCAGGAGGAACAACAGAGGCGAAGGCGGUUCUCUGGACUACUAUUGACGCUGAGGCGCGAAAGCGUGGGGAGCAAACAGG